AGUUGCUGUUAAUCAUGGCCAUCUGUUAAUGGAGCAGAAAACGAGAAACCAGACCGACCUAGAUUCCAGCUAUCAAAGAAUCAUAUAUCUGCCUUCGAACGAACUCAAGGCACAUUAUCGAUCUGCCUUUUCAUUAGAGUUCUGUAAAGAGUUAUUUCAAAGAGGGGCUUGAACACUCUCCAAGUAAAGAGGAACCAAUGAAGUUGGAGAAGCAAAUUAAACCAUAAUGCUCAAGUUUCCAAGGCGAUUGCUGCAGCUAAGUUGAUGAGAGAAGUUUGAAGAUUGGGAAGUCCGUAUCAAGAACUUAUGGAAUAUGAAGCCAACAUUGGAUAAACAAGAUAUUCUUCACUGGUCCGUUCUUUUGCUUUAUGCAGAAGUUGUCUAGUGGUUUUAUUGAAGACGCAGAAGUUGUCUUGUGGUUUUAUUGAAGACUCUAUGAGAUCAACACGUUCUCGAAUCACCUUGAAUGAUAUGAUAUCCUUUCUUAAGCUGCGUACUUUUUUCCCCUUUCAAGCAAUUAAAUGUCAUAAUUGGUAGUAGUAGGCUAGUAGCAUUUAAGUAAUUUAUGAUGUCCUUAGCUUCAAAUAUGUCUACAGAAAGUUCUCCGUUGUUACUGUGGGAUAGAGAACGUGCUUACACCCGUGAAGCUAUUAUUUGUAUCAUGAGGUUGAUUCUGGAUUUCCCUUACCAAAGAUGGAAUAUCUUCGGCAUCUCUAGAAGGCAGUGCCGGUUCUCUUGCCGAAAGCAUCAUUGAAGAAGAGAAAGAUGCAAGUGCGAGUUUAACUGAUAGCGCCUCAGCAGGUAAUGUACAUCCUUGUCUUUUGUUUGCUAUCUGUGGGAAGACGACAUAUUCAUACUUUUCCUAAACAUUCUUCUAGGAGGAAUGGAGGAAAAUAAAGUUGAAUUCUUAGACGGCUACACCUCUACGUUGAAAGUUCCACUGAGCUAUGUAGGACAGAUAGCCAAUAUUCCUCUCACGUAUUUCACAUAAUUAUUACAUUAUGUUUAAUUAGUUGAAUAAAGUACAAUCGAAGCGAAAUUUAUGUCUAUGGACUCUGGGUGAUAAUUAUAAAGUACGAAAAAUAUUUCUUAGUUUGGGUGAUGGUCAUUGUUGGUCCAUUAUGGUCCAUCAGGAUGAUCAUGAACUUGUUUAUGUCCUCUUACCCUUAAAAGUAAGUUUAUCAUGAAACAUGAUGCCAGAGUAAUCUAUGGACCUGCUAUAGUUUCCAAUCUGCGGGUUCGUUGUUACAUCAUAUAGCAAACUUUUGUAAAAUAUAUUCUCGCACUUGCAGCUAAUCUAGGUUACUUUCAGAAAGCUAACUUCACUAUUUUUAUUUCCUGGGAAAAGUAUCUGUUAGCUGGGUCAAGGUAAAUGAAAAGAAAAAGAAAACGCUUCAUGAUGUUCUGAGGCAGCCAGACUUUGUCGUUCCUGAAAUCCGUGGUGGGCUUUUAAUUCAUCUGCCAGUUAUCAUCUUUAUAACUUCAGUACAAUUCUUCAUUUUCCCCGCUUCUAUUAACUUCUCUUUCCUUUUUGUUUCCGCACGAAGUUUCUAUGUUGUGUCUAAAUGCUCCAGCUUCUAUGAAAAGUUCAAAGACGGCAAAUGGGCUCCACCAUAAUAAAUUUUCAUUACAAUGAGAAGAAAUGUAUCGUAAAUGUGUAUAGUUAUGGUUCAGGUUUGAUCACUGCUAGCUCCAUAAGUAUUCGAGUAAUUAAUAUUGUCGUAUAUGGGACGUGGAUGUUUGUUGAUUACUGGGUAUGCGGAAGUCUGCUGAUUACAUUUGCCUCUUUGAAGUACCAAGAGAUUUGCAUAUCCAAUAAUUCAAGCUUUGUCAAUAACCAGAACAUGCUAAAUUCUAGAUGUAUAGCGUAAACAUGAAUUAUUUAUUUUUGCAGGAAUACUACUUGACAUUUCAGUGAAUAUUCUGACUUUUUGAUCAGUAACGUUGACGUUUAUGGACUCGGUAGUUUGACAGUUUUUUAUGGAGAAGAACAGUUUGAUAUUAUUGUAUAUGUGCUCUCAAUCAUUGAGGCUUCAGAUGAGUACCAAUUUUUAUUUUUUUUAAUUCUAUUAUUAUUAUAUAGUUCAUUUCAGAUCCAACUGCAGGAGGCUCUCAAAGUUGUUGUCACCAUUAAAGGAGACCAAUAUCUUAUUAUCAGGUGCGUAGUGGGCAACAUAUUUGGUGGCGGCACUCCUCGAGUAAGCAUUGCCUCAGUAAUUCCCGACUCGCCUUAUAUGUAAGGCAAGUAGAUGCCUAGUCAGCAGAAUCUUGUAGCCGGAGGAGUUGAUCGCCUCGCAAGGUCCCAAUCGAUCGUCACCCGUCUAGGCAUUAUUUAUCAGCCUGUCAUUUGGCAUUGGUUACAAGUGUUUUACCCAUAUUAAAUUUUGAUAGUGAGCUGUUAUAUUCGUCACGAUUCACUCCUCCAGAAUCUGGAACUACUGGCUUCUGACUCCGAAAACGUGGAUUGAUUCCUGAAACAACAAAAUUUUAGAGACAGGAAGACAAAUUACCAGAUUCUCAACAAUUCCUCCCAACUACUACUACCUACUCUACUUUUGAUUUGGAAAAUGAGCCAAAACGGCAACUUUUAUUGCUAUACUAUUUAAUUUCGAAACGUGGUUACACUUUACAGUCUCCUUUCCUUGUUUCCGAGGAUCACAUUAAUUCCUUCGGACGGAAACGAACAGAGAAUAUCUCGGAUUACCAAAUACCUCGGC
Molecule: long non-coding RNA, 2717 nt
Organism: Papaver somniferum (opium poppy)
Lineage: Eukaryota; Viridiplantae; Streptophyta; Magnoliopsida; Ranunculales; Papaveraceae
Exons: 5
Source: RefSeq, a predicted model, not a curated record